This 429-nucleotide ribosomal RNA is filed under the name Chloroflexota bacterium. RNAcentral describes it as "Chloroflexi bacterium partial 16S ribosomal RNA". It matches the Rfam family "Bacterial small subunit ribosomal RNA", at positions 355 to 776 of the family's 1533-position model. The record is from RNAcentral. Lineage: Bacteria; Bacillati; Chloroflexota.
UGGGGAAUAUUGCACAAUGGGCGCAAGCCUGAUGCAGCCAUGCCGCGUGUGUGAAGAAGGCCUUCGGGUUGUAAAGCACUUUCAGCGGGGAGGAAGGCGAUAAGGUUAAUAACCUUGUCGAUUGACGUUACCCGCAGAAGAAGCACCGGCUAACUCCGUGCCAGCAGCCGCGGUAAUACGGAGGGUGCAAGCGUUAAUCGGAAUUACUGGGCGUAAAGCGCACGCAGGCGGUCUGUCAAGUCGGAUGUGAAAUCCCCGGGCUUAACCUGGGAACUGCAUUCGAAACUGGCAGGCUAGAGUCUCGUAGAGGGGGGUAGAAUUCCAGGUGUAGCGGUGAAAUGCGUAGAGAUCUGGAGGAAUACCGGUGGCGAAGGCGGCCCCCUGGACAAAGACUGACGCUCAGGUGCGAAAGCGUGGGGAGCAAACAGG